This 463-nucleotide ribosomal RNA is filed under the name uncultured bacterium. RNAcentral's name for it is "SSU rRNA". It matches the Rfam family "Bacterial small subunit ribosomal RNA", at positions 26 to 518 of the family's 1533-position model. The record is from RNAcentral.
AGAAUCAACGCUGGCGGCGUGCCUAACACAUGCAAGUCGAACGAGAAAGUGGGAGCAAUCCCACGAGUAAAGUGGCGCACGGGUGAGUAACACGUGACUAACCUACCCUUGAGUGGGGGAUAACCUAGGGAAACCUGGGCUAAUACCGCAUAAUACCUACGGGUCAAAGGAGCAAUUCGCUUUAGGAGGGGGUCGCGGCAGAUUAGUUAGUUGGCGGGGUAAUGGCCCACCAAGACAGUGAUCUGUAUCCGGCCUGAGAGGGGCGCACGGACACACUGGAACUGAAACACGGUCCAGACUCCUACGGGAGGCAGCAGUGGGGAAUUUUGCGCAAUGGGGGAAACCCUGACGCAGCAACGCCGCGUGGAGGAUGAAGCCCCUUGGGGCGUAAACUCCUUUCGAUCGGGAAGAUAAUGACGGUACCGGAAGAAGAAGCCCCGGCUAACUUCGUGCCAGCAGCCGC